GUGACGUAGAACAGUGACGAAAUAGAAUCUCGAUUUGUGUCUGUCUGUUAACAUUUCCGGGGGGGAUUUUUACGGAAUGAGGGGGGAAGAACAAUCACAAUAAGGUAGAACCUUUCGGAACUCGUGUCAGUUUCUCUUUGAUUUUAAAUGUCUGGAAUCCGAAUAGAUAUGCGGCCUAAACAACGUUAUACAGUAGAUACCAAAAUCGAGUGAUUACCGACAUCAAUUAUACAUAUUUCGUUUGGCGAAAAACACAUGAAAUGGAUUCACCGUGCCGUAUUUAGCCAGCUCGGUUCACAUAUUUUAUCUUGCACUCUAUGAUCGUACGUCGCACAGAAUCAUCGGAAAAAAGCUUCUAUCAAAAUGUUAUAAAGGAAAUGAUGGAAACGAAACUACAGUUUUAUAAUAUAGUCCGCUCUACGUUUGUAAACAUGCGUUCGAUCGAUCGUUUGAGUAAACAAAGUAUCGUACUUUUAAUCAAAAAGCAAUUUAAAGACUCAAAAGAAUCAAAACCAUCAAGACAUUUAAAAGAAUCAAAAAAUUGUUUUCGUUCGAAAUGGUAAUGAAUUUAUCUUUAAAAUUAUUUGAAACGUGAAAUGAAAUAAGAUGUAAAGCACGGGAGUUAUUUUUCGCCGGAAAUCAACCGUCGACUUUCAGAACGCGUGCCUUUGUUUGCAUGUAUACCAAAUAAGGUAUGGCACGUUUGAAAGGCCCGUUCACUCGAUCCGAUUUGUCGGAUCCGGUUUUGUCAGAUCCUAAAAACGGAUCGUGUGAGCACAUAUAAAGUUAGUCUCCGACAGUCGGAUCCGUCAAUCUAAAAAAGAGGAUAGAAAUAGCCUGGAAUAUAAUGACUAGCCAAAUUAUAUAUGUUUGAAAAAGACUUGGAAACAAGAAGAAAAGUACGCAAAUAUAUCGA
This is a long non-coding RNA of Xenia sp. Carnegie-2017, 916 nucleotides long. RefSeq lists it as uncharacterized. NCBI's taxonomy places the organism in Eukaryota, Metazoa, Cnidaria, Anthozoa, Malacalcyonacea, Xeniidae. The record is from RefSeq and is a predicted model, not a curated record. The transcript is spliced from 2 exons.